Long non-coding RNA from Olea europaea var. sylvestris, 525 nucleotides. RefSeq lists it as uncharacterized. The transcript is spliced from 5 exons. The record is from RefSeq and is a predicted model, not a curated record. Lineage: Eukaryota; Viridiplantae; Streptophyta; Magnoliopsida; Lamiales; Oleaceae.
GACCUUAGUAGGACCCGAUUAUUAGGUCCGACCUAUGAGAGGCCCGACCACAUUUUAAAGGAUAUUUGGAGAUGAGAGUGGUCGAGGUAUUUACCUCGAGCCAUGCUAGAAAGUUUGGGGUCGGGCUAUAAUUUUCAUACACAUCACCAUGGAUAAAAAGGAUAUUUAUGCCAGGCUCUGCAGACCCAACUCUUUUGACGGUGGACAAAGGAAUUUUGGAUUGAUAAGAGAAUCGGAGGGACAUAUUUGUCAAUUUCUUCAAAGGCGAUAGCAAUUACGGGUAUAGAUGAUCGGAGAUAUUGAAAUCGCAUUCAGACUGAUGAAUCUAGGUUCAAUGUGAUCAUUUUGAAGACUUCUUUUUUGCGUUUGAGCUGGAUAAAUAUGUCUAUGAAGCCUUGUUCAAAAGGAAAACAGCAGAGGUUUUCAGUGGAAAUAUCAACUGCUCAUAAGAAAACUUCCCUAAACCGAUUGGUCAAGUUGGAUUUUCUGUGAUUUGCGAUUAUUUGUGAAAAUUUUUGCUUGCAA